AGAGUUUGAUCAUGGCUCAGGAUGUACGCUAGCUACAGGCUUAACACAUGCAAGUCGAGGGGAAACGAUAGAGAAAGCUUGCUUUUUCUAGGCGUCGACCGGCGCACGGGUGAGUAACGCGUAUCCAACCUGCCCACCACUUGGGGAUAACCUUGCGAAAGUAAGACUAAUACCCAAUGAUAUCUCUAGAAGACAUCUGAAAGGGAUUAAAGAUUUAUCGGUGAUGGAUGGGGAUGCGUCUGAUUAGCUUGUUGGCGGGGUAACGGCCCACCAAGGCGACGAUCAGUAGGGGUUCUGAGAGGAAGGUCCCCCACAUUGGAACUGAGACACGGUCCAAACUCCUACGGGAGGCAGCAGUGAGGAAUAUUGGUCAAUGGACGGGAGUCUGAACCAGCCAAGUAGCGUGCAGGAUGACGGCCCUAUGGGUUGUAAACUGCUUUUAUAAGGGAAAUAAAGUGAGCCUCGUGAGGCUUUUUGCAUGUACCUUAUGAAUAAGGACCGGCUAAUUCCGUGCCAGCAGCCGCGGUAAUACGGAAGGUCCGGGCGUUAUCCGGAUUUAUUGGGUUUAAAGGGAGCGUAGGCCGGAGAUUAAGCGUGUUGUGAAAUGUAGAUGCUCAACAUCUGCACUGCAGCGCGAACUGGUUUCCUUGAGUACGCACAAAGUGGGCGGAAUUCGUGGUGUAGCGGUGAAAUGCUUAGAUAUCACGAAGAACUCCGAUUGCGAAGGCAGCUCACUGGAGCGCAACUGACGCUGAAGCUCGAAAGUGCGGGUAUCGAACAGGAUUAGAUACCCUGGUAGUCCGCACGGUAAACGAUGGAUGCCCGCUGUUGGUCUGAAUAGGUCAGCGGCC
This 851-nucleotide ribosomal RNA is filed under the name uncultured bacterium. RNAcentral describes it as "bacterial SSU rRNA". It matches the Rfam family "Bacterial small subunit ribosomal RNA", at positions 8 to 848 of the family's 1533-position model. The record is from RNAcentral.